UGGGGGAUAUUGGACAAUGGGGGAAACCCUGAUCCAGCGACGCCGCGUGAGUGAAGAAGUAUUUCGGUAUGUAAAGCUCUGUCAGCAGGGAAGAAGAAAGUGACGGUACCUGACCAAGAAGCCCCGGCUAACUACGUGCCAGCAGCCGCGGUAAUACGUAGGGGGCAAGCGUUAUUCGGAAUUACUGGGUGUAAAGGGAGCGUAGACGGUAAUGUAAGUCUGGAGUGAAAGGCGGGGGCCCAACCCCCGGACUGCUCUGGAAACUAUGUUACUGGAGUGCAGGAGAGGUAAGCGGAAUUCCUAGUGUAGCGGUGAAAUGCGUAGAUAUUAGGAGGAACACCAGUGGCGAAGGCGGCUUACUGGACUGUAACUGACGUUGAGGCUCGAAAGCGUGGGGAGCAAACAGG
This 407-nucleotide ribosomal RNA is filed under the name uncultured bacterium. RNAcentral describes it as "bacterial SSU rRNA". It matches the Rfam family "Bacterial small subunit ribosomal RNA", at positions 355 to 776 of the family's 1533-position model. The record is from RNAcentral.